AGAAGAACUUAAUUAGAAUUCUGUCGCUGGUGAGUUCUUUCGCUCCAGUUGGAAAAUUUGCAACACCGUUCUAGCUGUUUGAUUUCGAAAUCACUCUCUACUCAAGAAGUGUCCUGCAAAUUGGGAGAAGAGCUUUAUUUUUUCCGGCCAAGACAAUGUUCAUGUUUGUUCUUUGUCUUUGCGCUGUAAUUGGGGGUAAUGGAGGCGGUGGAAAACAUGAAAAUGGACUUGGAAUCAGAAGCGACUCUAGUGAGGGAGGCUCAGGGUACGCUGAAUUGUCGACGUGGUCUCUGUGGACCAAAUGGAGCGAUUGCAGCAGCAGCUGCGGCGAGGGAAGCAAGAGGUUCCGACAACGCACGUGCGGUAACGUCAUCAACAGGAUACACCGGAAGUGUUCGGGAAACAGUUUACAGAUUGAAUCCUGUACAGUUCCACCCUGCUGAAAAGGAUCAAGCUGUUAGCUCAAGAGUAUGAAGGGAACUUUCAAACGCCUUUUACGAUCCACUUUUUCUGAAAUUAUAGCGCUAAACUUGAGGAAAAAAGCUGGAAUUCAAUUUAGUAAGCGGUAUUCACGAAUUUAAAAUUAGACGAAGUGCU
This 597-nucleotide unclassified non-coding RNA is filed under the name Orbicella faveolata. Its description in RNAcentral is "coadhesin-like, transcript variant X2". Lineage: Eukaryota; Metazoa; Cnidaria; Anthozoa; Scleractinia; Merulinidae. The record is from RNAcentral.